GAUAGUUGCUGACAGAUCCAAUUGAGAGAAGUUCUUACAUGCAAACAAAGCACACAUGCAAUUUGCCUCUGUCAGUCUGAAAUAUAACUUUUACACGGUGACUAACUUUGUCUUAUUUUUCAGGAUAUAAGAAUCCAUCCGCUGCUCAGUCUAAACUGCCUGGUAACAGACUGGACCCCAGCACUGCUCAAGAAAAGAGUAAACCAGCAGCCACACUCUCCAGACCAGACCAGGGUGAUGGACUCACCUCUUUGUUGCCAGAUCCCCCAGUUCCAGUGAAGGCUCCAGUGCCAGUUCCGCCCGAGUUGCUUG
Hypomesus transpacificus is the source of this 312-nucleotide long non-coding RNA. RefSeq lists it as uncharacterized. NCBI's taxonomy places the organism in Eukaryota, Metazoa, Chordata, Actinopteri, Osmeriformes, Osmeridae. The transcript is spliced from 3 exons. The record is from RefSeq and is a predicted model, not a curated record.